Molecule: long non-coding RNA, 6632 nt
Organism: Pteropus alecto (black flying fox)
Lineage: Eukaryota; Metazoa; Chordata; Mammalia; Chiroptera; Pteropodidae
Exons: 2
Source: RefSeq, a predicted model, not a curated record
AGAAGAAACUGGAAUUUAAAAGGCGAGGCUGCAACUGUUCUCGGGGUAGAGUGGGUUGGUCGCUUUAAAAACCUGGGAACGCGGGGCACCGUUAUUUGAUGCAAACUCGCCUCUCCCGGGGAACCAGGAGUUCCUGGAAGACAGGAGAGGAUGUGUGUCCCACUGUGACUUCCUUCAUCCCAGCCUCCUGCCGAGCUGAAAUCUCUGUUGAUGGAAGAAGCAGUCACAGCAGAGCGCCUGUACGUCGGAGGGUGGUUUAUUGGGGAAGGAGGGCUCUAUGGGAGUGAAGAUAUAUUUGGCAGCACCCAGUCCUUGUGUGUGCAUCCAUCAUCUUGGCAUCUACCCAGACUGUGAGCCCCGUAUUGAGAUGUGCCCUGUCCCUCUCUUUCUCAGCCCUUAACACUGUACCUAGUACAGAGUAGAUAUGAAGUGGGCAUUUAUUGAAUGAGUGCUUUUCUCAGCAACAGUGUAUGAUGAACAGUAUUCAUAUCAUUGUCCAGUUUUUGCAGAUGAACUCAGUGAAAACAAGGUUUGGUGACUUCUCAGAGCUGGGAUUUGAGCCUCAGGCUCUUUGCCCAGCGCUCUGUGGAUGAGCCCCAGACAUUCCCUCUGCGUCCUCUGGGCAGGUCCUUUUUUUCCCCACACACUUAACCAAUCUGUUUGCAGUCAAUCAUUAAUUGACUUGCCUAUGAACUUUUUGAGAGCAGGAACGAGUUUUAUUUUGUACCUAGCACAAGCAUAAACACUUUUUUUUGCCAUCCUUGGUUAUUUUAAAUUUGCAUUUAAAUGAUAAAUGUUGAGGCAAUUAAAAUCAAAUUUUGAUUAAGUAAUAGUUACAGAUGUGCUAAAUUUUUCAAAUUACUCUUAGUAAGCACAGAUUUUUUUUUACUUGUAAGGGUACUGCUUUUGUGAUAGCAUAAAAAAUGGUUUUCUUUUUUAUUUUCAUAGACUGGGAAGGCUUAGUAAUUAUGUUCAUAAGUACUUAUAUACAUCGUUUUCCUAUAAUAGCUUCUGCUUUAUGACGAGUAAUAUUUUAUGAAAUGUUUAUAUCAUAUGAUUAUGACAUGUUUAUAAAAUAAAGUUUUAAAACUCAUUUAGUUGUUAUUAGCCUUAAUUUUUAGGAAUGUUCCUAAAUGUUUUUUAAAUGUUGCCUAAGAGCAGAUGUAAUUGCAGAAUACCAGAUUGCACGUUCCUUACACUUACACAUUAUCCUGUUUAAUCUUCACAAUAAUUAUAUUGUUUUUACAGUUAAAGAAACUGAGACCUUAAACAGAGAGAGGAUGACUUCUGCAAAGACACAUGGCUAACUAGCAAGUUGUGGAAUAUUUAUUAAUAGUUAUUUCUAUUUAUUUUUUCUUUUCUGUCUUUAAGACUUUGAGAGGAAGAAAACGUUCUACCUACCUCCAUGAUUCUGGCAAAGUCAAGCUCUGUCACAGUAGAAGGCUACUUAGAGAGGUCUUUACUUUAUAAACAGCCCUUGUUCUUCCCAGGAAGAGGAAAGAGAAAGAUUGACCUUGUGAUGGAUUAGUUGUACAGGAACACAGUGAGUUCCUGAGCCCCAUGCAGAAUGGCUUUUACCGAGAGUCAUUCCCCUUUAGUUUCUGACCUGGGGUUUCCUGGGUCUUGAAAAGGUGUUAUUUCCAAAUUGUAGUUGGCUCAGCUAUCUUGGUGCAUGAUGGAGAAUUUGAUUAUCUUCUCAAAAAAAAUAAACCUGCUCUCGGUCCCCUGUUUUAUAUGGGUUGCUCAGAAGGAUGUUUUUUAAAUGUUGCCUAUUAGGAGCUCAAUCUUGAGGUUUGGUAAUUGUUUACUAGCCCAGCACCACAUAGUUGUUUUUUCCGUUAAUCGACUUGAGACUGCUAGUCUUUCACUGCCUGUUCACUACAGGUCAGUAAGUGCGCCCCAAAGCCACAGGUUCCUUGGAAAAGUCUCUUUUCUGUGUUUUGCUUUGUAUCCUGCCCUUUAUCUUGGGAAGAGGUGGGAUGCUACUUGGAGGCUUCUGGCCUUUGAGAAGAUCUUGGUACAUUGUCAAGACCGAGGGUCUAAACAAUACUAAAGCCUCUUUGUUCUCCCCUCACAUUUGGCCCCUCCCCUACCCCUCCCUAGUUUAGGUCUUAAUCUUUGUUCCACUGCAGUGGUUUCCUAUCCUUCCUAACCAGUCUCAUACCAACCGCUUCCUUCCCUCCCCUCUCUCCCUCUCUUCCUUUCUUGGCUUGCCUGAGUGUUCUAAAAUAGAGCCAUUCCUAGCCCUCUUUUUUUUUUUUAAUUAAAAUUAUUAGGGUGAUGAUUAAUAAAAUCAAAUAGGUUCGAGUGUACAGUUAAAUAUGUCAUGUAUAUCGCAUUGUGCGUUUACCACCCAAAGUUAAGUUUCCUUCUGUCACCAAAUAAUUGACCCCCUUUAUUUCUGUCUACAUCCCCCUAACUCUCUUUUAUUUGUAAAGUUCUUUAAUGGUUCUGCAUGCAUUGUUUAAGGCUGAAAUGAAAACUCGGAUGCCUAAGGUGGGGCAGUGGGGAGGGAGAAUCUGGCAGGUAAUCUAAAGGAGGUUAGGAAACUGAUGUAAACACCAUUAGUUUGUUAAAUGGUAGUGACACUUGGGGAGUUCACUACCCACUUAAAGAGGCAGCCCCUCGUUAGCCCUAGAAUGUGGCCCUGAGAUGAUGUAUCUUUGGAUUUCUUAACUCAUUUCCUGGUUGCCAAGUGUUGACCUCACGAUAACUUGUGAAUUAGAGUCCUAACCUUACAUCCAAAUAGAUGCCACGAAAUAUCUGGCUUUUAUUAUUUUCAUUUUGCUCUAGUACAUCAGUAGUCUUUGGAAACAAAUGACAUCAUUCUAUUUAUAACAUUGUUUUUAGUAGUGGUAUUGCUAUUUGUAAAAUAUAGUAAUUCUUGAUUGCUGAAAAUGUCAAAUCCUAGAAAACGUAGCAUUCCUACGUGUGAUGUUAACAUUGUUCUGGAAUAGUCAUUAGCCAAAGAUUCAUUGGAUGAAUUCGAUUUAUGUAUACAAUUCUGUUACAUUAGGAUUAGAGACACGUUCUGUUUAGAAAUAACUCCAAGAACGGUUUUUAUGUUUUAUUUUCACAUUGAAAACCAGUCCGUUUUGCUUCAGCCUCAAAGAGUGUGUUUAUGUAAAAUUAAGUUAACGCUGGCAGAGAGCUGCACUUUUUUUUUCUAAACAGGAAAUGGGUUAAGAGAAGCCAGAAACCUGGAUUUGUACAUGUGAAAUCUCUUGACUUUAAAAUGUUGGCAAUUUACAAAUGGCUUUUAAACUAUGCAGGCUAAGGAGCAUCUCUUAAGCAUGGUUCUGGGCUUCAACCGUUUCAUGGUUUUGAGACCUCUGACCAAUAAGAUAAAAUCUAAACUCUUGAGCCAGGGCCAUUGAAAGUCCUUCACAGUGGGUUUUUUCAGCCACCUUGAGAUUAGAACAUCAUUCAGUGGUAGUCUUCCAAUAAAAACAUGGUUGAACUCUAAAGAACUUUGAUUCCUUCUAUUGAGCACACAUUUUCAUCUGUCAUGGAAAGGGAACUUAGUGGCAAGAAACAGGAGCCCAUGUCAAGAGGCCGAAUCCAAAAUAAGUGUGUAGGUGUGUUGGAGUGGGGGGCCUGUAUCUCUUCUAGUUGUUUUUUCCAGAGAAUAAACUUCCUGUCUCCUGCAAGCGUGGGGGAAAGGGCAGUCACUUGUCUGUAUAGGAUGGGGUUAGGAGAUCUGAGAGUCUUGUGACUCCUUACAGAGACUCAGCUGAUAUUCCUGUCUAGUUCCACCCAGGCCUUCCUGGACACCUAUGUCUCCAGUCUCUGAGCCUCUCCAGGGGCAGGGAACCUUGUGUCUCACUAGCAUCCCUCCCUGCAGUGACUUUGUUGUCAGCUGUCAACUUACAUCAUCCAAAAGUAAUGUGACAGUUAUGUCUAGUGGUUGAUGCUGGCUGGCAGCAUGAACACUGACAAGUGGCCUCUCCAUGUGGCUAGGCUUCCUUAUAGCAUGGCAGAAGCAUUCCAAAAGCAAGUGUCACAAGAGAACAGUGGCAUUUCACAUGAUUCACUUCUGUUUGCUUCUUACUUUCAGAAAGGUGGUCCAGGUUCAAGGGGAAGGGAUACAUGCUCCCACCAUUUGAUGGGAAGAGUGUUGUCAUGUUGUAAGAAGAAUAUGUGGGAGGGGAUCUAUUGUGGUGGCCAUCUUUGACAGAACAGACUCUAGGUCACAUGUGUUUGAUUUGUUUUUAAAUGGAAGACAAGAGAGGUCUUUCUAAAACAGAUCUGUUCUUGCCACCUAUUUUUUAAAGUGUCUGGAAGCUCCCGUGGUCUCCUGGUAACUACAGGAUAAGAACAAUGGCUCUGAAUAAACCUGGCCCCAAAUAGCCUUUCUUGUCUCAUAAGCUUUUGUGACUUCUCCCUACAUUCUGGCAAUUCUGAAUUACCCCAUUCCCUGAAUGUACUGUGUGGUAUCCUACUCAUUCUCACACACCUCACUCAUUCUGCUCUCUGCCACCAGGGGCCUCUCCAAGCCCUUCUUCUUUGUAAGGCAACUCCUUCCUCAUGUGUCAAGCUCCAACUCAGAAGUCACCUUCAGGAACACUUCCCUAAUCUGCCUCAGGCACAAUCCAUUCACUGUCAUCAUUUCCCCACAGCCAUUUCUCAUGCUUCUACUACAGAGAAUUAGAGCAUUGUACCUGACUUCUCAAUUUGUGAGCUUUCGCCAGUAAAUAACCAUGAGUCUAGUGCUAAUUACUAUGCCAAGCAUGGUGUCACUGCUAAAAUGGUACCUGAGUAUUACAGUGUUCCAAAGUCCUUUAGCAUUCUCAUAGGCUUACAUACGCAACAUUCAGCCACUUAGUCUCUUCCUAUUCCAAUGGAGUUGACUGAAAAUUUCUAGAACCAGGAAACAACCCUGAUCAUAUUAACCUUCCCCCUCUUCCAGCUAAUUGAUCUUGGAAAUAAAUAUAAUGUUUCUUGAGGUUUCAACAUGAAAUUUGAUUUCUUCGUAGAUGUUUUGGCUAUGACUUAGAUAAUCAGCAUUUCUCUGUAUUAGGAAAGUCGGUAUCAGUCAACUGUUUAUCAGGGUUUCAAUCAGCAGAGUCCAUCUCCUGAAUAACUGGAAAUUAAUAAAUCUUGAAGCUAAGGAGGGUGGUAUAGCAGAGUGGAGAGCACUGUUAAUGUCUUGCCAUAUUCCAGAUUUUCCGUUAACUGAUUGUAGGACUUUUGAUGAGAUCCAACUCCCCAACCUGUUUGCACCAAGGCCAGUCAGGCUGCAAAACUUACUAGGGUGGGUAAAUAUGAGAGGAAGCAAGGGGAAGCACUUCUGUGAGAAAAUGCAUUCACAAAGGCUGCUGAAACACAGAGCUCAGAACUCUCGACUGAAGGCUGGAAUUGGACACUUUAAAUUAUGCAGAUACCACACUUUGUUUAAUGUACAAUAUUAAAUUUACUUAUAAAUUUGAGAUACGGUAUUUAGCAAAUGUUUUAUCGUAAUUUUUCUUCCAAAGAGAGAACUUGUCAAGAAACAUGUUAUACCCUUAAUUAGAAAUUUUAUCCCUAUAGUUGUCCUAAAUAAAGAGGAAAAAGACCUUUCUUUUAAAAUUUUUCACAAAUAAAGGUUAACAUUGACAAGGGACACACCCAGGAAAAUAGCAUUUUUUUUUUUUAAUGUUAUUUAAAAGGCCAUUUUCCUCACUUCUUUUUUGUCAUGCGGGGAUAUGUUUCUGAUCCAGUGUAGCAAAGGAUGGACCCAUAGGAUGAGACAGUGAUAUCUUGAUAACUGUAAAAAUAGAAGACAUUUAUUGAGUAGGGUGAAAGGUUGAUAUUUAGUCAAAUUGCGAUAGUGAAAACUAAUGGUCAUUUUUCACCUUGCUGCAUAAAAUAAGAUUCAGGGUCACACUGAGUGGUAUUGUAGCUGUAUCUUUAAAAGAGCUGUCUAAUCUAUACCUAUAAUAACUUUCAUAAUUAUACAUGUUGGCAUAAUCAAGCCAAUUACUGUAGCGAUCAAGAAGUAAUUUAUUUCCUCAUGUAUGCUGCUCACAACAGGGCAGCUGCAUUACACAUUCAUGAAUUCUAGUGUGAUAUUGUUAGGGGUUGUUAACUACAGGCCACUGGAUUUGAAGGACCAUAUAUUUAUUGGAGCUGGCAAUUCUUUUAAAUUCUGAUCUGCUCAUAUCUGUUACUUAAGAUUUCUAAAGAACAUAUGGCUUAUUGCCUACACUUUACCGGAGGAUAGAUUUUGGGAUACAGCUGUUGAUGAAAGUAUUAGACGCACUUCCCUCUGAGUCCACCUUUGGAGAGAAUGUGAAUUGCACCUUUGAAAGUAAGAUCCCAAUUUUGAAGAGAACUUGUGGUCAGUUAGGGCAAUUUGCACUUGAGUGGGGAAUCCUUAUAUAAACCAGAGUGGUAGUCACUGUUGAAAACAUGCUGUUGGAGAACCUGGGAUAAAACAUGUUAUUUUAAAGCUCUCUAUUUGUACCUCAGCUCCUGGAGAAUUUUGUCAUUUACAAUUUACAUAUACUAAUAAUAGAGUUUUCCCUUAAUUACUACAGUAACCAUUUCUUGAUCAAAUGAAUUUGUGUAGCUUUACCAUGGAUUUUUUACCUUCCCCCCUUGCAAUAUUUUUUGAAGCAUUCAGGAAAUAAAACUGGAGAUAUGUCAUUACA